UGAUUCAGCGGCGGACGGGUGAGUAAUGCCUAGGAAUCUGCCUGGUAGUGGGGGACAACGUUUCGAAAGGAACGCUAAUACCGCAUACGUCCUACGGGAGAAAGCAGGGGACCUUCGGGCCUUGCGCUAUCAGAUGAGCCUAGGUCGGAUUAGCUAGUUGGUGAGGUAAUGGCUCACCAAGGCGACGAUCCGUAACUGGUCUGAGAGGAUGAUCAGUCACACUGGAACUGAGACACGGUCCAGACUCCUACGGGAGGCAGCAGUGGGGAAUAUUGGACAAUGGGCGAAAGCCUGAUCCAGCCAUGCCGCGUGUGUGAAGAAGGUCUUCGGAUUGUAAAGCACUUUAAGUUGGGAGGAAGGGCAUUAACCUAAUACGUUAGUGUUUUGACGUUACCGACAGAAUAAGCACCGGCUAACUUCGUGCCAGCAGCCGCGGUAAUACGAAGGGUGCAAGCGUUAAUCGGAAUUACUGGGCGUAAAGCGCGCGUAGGUGGUUUGUUAAGUUGGAUGUGAAAGCCCCGGGCUCAACCUGGGAACUGCAUCCAAAACUGGCAAGCUAGAGUAUGGCAGAGGGUGGUGGAAUUUCCUGUGUAGCGGUGAAAUGCGUAGAUA
Molecule: ribosomal RNA, 612 nt
Filed under: Stutzerimonas xanthomarina
Lineage: Bacteria; Pseudomonadati; Pseudomonadota; Gammaproteobacteria; Pseudomonadales; Pseudomonadaceae
Description: bacterial SSU rRNA
Rfam family: Bacterial small subunit ribosomal RNA
Source: RNAcentral